AGCAGCCGCGGUAAUUCCAGCUCCAAUAGCGUAUAUUAAAGUUGUUGCAGUUAAAAAGCUCGUAGUUGAACUUCAGGCCUGGCUGGACGGUCCGCCUUCCGGGUGAGUACUGUCUGUGGUCGGGUCCUACCUUCUGGCGAAGCGUCAUGGCCUUAACCGGCCGUGGCGGGGAACCAGGACUUUUACUGUGAAAAAAUUAGAGUGUUCAAAGCAGGCAGUUCGCUUGGAUACAUUAGCAUGGAAUAAUGGAAUAGGACAAUUGUUCUAUUUGUUGGUCUCUAGGACUGUUGUAAUGAUUAAUAGGGAUAGUUGGGGGCAUUAGUAUUCAAUUGUCAGAGGUGAAAUUCUUGGAUUUAUUGAAGACUAACUACUGCGAAAGCAUUUGCCAAGGAUGUUUUCAUUAAUCAAGAACGAAAGUUAGGGGAUCGAAGACGAUCAGAUACCGUCGUAGUCUUAACCAUAAACUAUGCCGACUAGGAAUCGGGCGAUGUUGACAAAAUGACGCGCUCGGCACCU
This 516-nucleotide ribosomal RNA is filed under the name uncultured Glomeromycotina. Its description in RNAcentral is "SSU rRNA". It matches the Rfam family "Eukaryotic small subunit ribosomal RNA", at positions 569 to 1088 of the family's 1831-position model. Lineage: Eukaryota; Fungi; Glomeromycota. The record is from RNAcentral.